RNAcentral lists this ribosomal RNA (915 nucleotides) under Panagrolaimus facetus. RNAcentral describes it as "SSU rRNA". It matches the Rfam family "Eukaryotic small subunit ribosomal RNA", at positions 62 to 968 of the family's 1831-position model. The record is from RNAcentral. Lineage: Eukaryota; Metazoa; Nematoda; Chromadorea; Rhabditida; Panagrolaimidae.
GGACUUUUUAAAUCAUGGUGUAUUUACACGAAACCGCGUAUGGCUCAUUAUAACAGCUAAAAUUUACUUGAUUUUGACUUUUAUCCUACAUGGAUAACUGUGGUAAUUCUGGAGCUAAUACAUGCAUAAAAGAUGUUUCAUUUAUUGAAACAUUGCGUAUAUUAGUAUUAAAACCAAGCAUUCUUCGGAAUGUUUUGUGUUGAAACUGAAUAUAUCAUGCUGAUCGUAUGGUCUUGUACCGACGACAUGUCAUUCAAGUGUCUGAUCUAUCAACUUUCUAUAUAAGUAUAUAGUACUUAUAUGGUUUUGACGGAUAACGGGGUAUUAGGGUACGACUCCGGAGAAAAUGCCUGAGAAACGGCGUUUACAUCCAAGGAAGGCAGCAGGCGCGAAAAUUACCCACUCUCAGUACGAGGAGGUAGUGACGAGAAAUGACAAGAUCUAUUCCUUCGGGGAUGGAUCAUUGGAAUGGUUUGAUUUUAAAAUCAUUAAAGAGUAUCAAUGAGAGGGCAAGUCUGGUGCCAGCAGCCGCGGUAAUUCCAGCUCUCAUACUGCAUUGAAUUGUUGUUGCGGUUAAAAAGCUCGUAGUUGGAUCUGUACAUGAUAGGUUAGUUCAUCCUUUGGAUUGUAACUAAUACUAAAUGUUUUUUAUAAGAUUUCUUUAUAGUUCGUAAGGAUUAUAAAGUGUCUUAUGAGUUUACUUUGAAUAAAUCAGAGUGCUCAAAACAGGCGUAAGCUUGUAUGGUUUUGCAUGGAAUAAUAGAACAUGACUAUGGUUCAUGUUUUAUUGGUUUUACUUACCAUAGUAAUGAUUAAAAGGAACAAACGGGGGCAUCCGUAUCGCAGGGCGAGAGGUGAAAUUCGUGGACCCUUGCGAGACGAACUACAGCGAAAGCAUUGGCCCAAAGAAAUGAA